AUAAAACUUUCAACAACGGAUCUCUUGGUUCUCGCAUCGAUGAAGAGCGCAGCGAAAUGCGAUACCUAGUGUGAAUUGCAGCCAUCGUGAAUCAUCGAGUUCUUGAACGCACAUUGCGCCCGUCGGUAUUCCGGCGGGCAUGCCUGUCUGAGCGUCGUU
This 159-nucleotide ribosomal RNA is filed under the name Pichia membranifaciens. RNAcentral describes it as "5.8S ribosomal RNA". It matches the Rfam family "5.8S ribosomal RNA". From Rfam's summary of the family: 5.8S ribosomal RNA (5.8S rRNA) is a component of the large subunit of the eukaryotic ribosome. Lineage: Eukaryota; Fungi; Ascomycota; Pichiomycetes; Pichiales; Pichiaceae. The record is from RNAcentral.